UCAUCUCUCACCAAAACACCACCGCAAGCAAAAGUCCAACUUCCUCCUCGCCACUUACCAUCAUCACUCAACUCUUUCUCUGAAGUCAAGUGAUCUGAUGACUCUAAACUUGAUAAUUAAACAACCACGAUCUAUUAAUCUUUCACUUGUGAUUUUUCAGAGAUAAAAACCCUAGCCGUUUCUCCACCUUUACCUACUUUUUGCAAAAUGAUUUUCUUUCUUUAAUCUGAACUGAUUUCAAUUCGAUGUAAUUGAAUCUGUCUUUCGCUGAGGAUAAUCUUUUGUUUCAGACACCCCAAAUUUCAGAUAGGGCAUCUGUUUAGUUAAGGUUUACGGAUCUUGGUUAGAGGGAAAACUCUAGCUAAACUAGACUAGAAAACCAGCCUAGAGGUAGAGCUCACAUGAGGAAUCUAAUAACUGCCGGCUUGGAGCAAAGGAAGAACGCGUGAAACCAAACACAUAGUAAUGGUGGAAGGAUAAAAAGAUAGUUAUAUGGAUACUCUUAUGGAUCCGCUGUUUUUAAGGCUCCGCCGACCUCUGAAAGGGCAUUUGGAGUGUAUCCAAAGACGCAUUUCGUUAGAAAUAUCGACUCAAUGCUACAACAUCCUCCAAACGCAAAAUGUUGUUGGAGUAUUGGAUUGUUAUAGUGCAAGGGUUCAAGCAACGUGCAAUAGGAAACAUGGAUGAUCCAUAUCUAAUCCCUGGUAUGCAUCUGAUAAGAAGCAGUUGCAUGUAGGACUUGCUCGGAAACUUGUUCGAAGACCCUUUUUGAGGCGGGUGGUGUUUCCUGUAAAAUGGCGGAAAGCAUGUGGCUCCAUACUCAUCUUAUCCAAGAUUUGAUCUCCAUUUCUCGAACAAGUGUUCCUAAAUACCCAAGGCUGGUGUUGUGAAGUUGGAUACUUCGUUGUCGUUGAUGACUUAGAGCUCGACUAAUUUCAGUGAGACAAUGAAGUGGGUGUUGCUCUCUUUGCAACUGAUGGUAAUUAAUUUCCUCUAAUCCUGUAAGAACGUUGAAUUGGGAUUCAAGACUGCCCGAGAACCUGUUGAAGAUCUGUGAUAACCCUUGAAUACUUAGAAGUGUUAGCAUCGAAAAUCAUAGUGGGAGAAGAAACUUGGACAUUGUGGAUUUCAUUGUAGCAUCUGAUUAAUGUUUUUUUGAUUGUUGUUGUAGUAAUGAGGUUCAAACUCUCGGACUUGUGAAGAUUAAAUUUAAAGAUUUAAUAAAAUUAUAUACAAAAAUAUUAACAAAGUGGGCGAGAGGUAUGAGAAAACAACCAAGACA
Long non-coding RNA from Papaver somniferum (opium poppy), 1282 nucleotides. RefSeq lists it as uncharacterized. NCBI's taxonomy places the organism in Eukaryota, Viridiplantae, Streptophyta, Magnoliopsida, Ranunculales, Papaveraceae. The record is from RefSeq and is a predicted model, not a curated record. The transcript is spliced from 10 exons.